Molecule: ribosomal RNA, 477 nt
Filed under: uncultured Planctomycetota bacterium
Lineage: Bacteria; Pseudomonadati; Planctomycetota
Description: bacterial SSU rRNA
Rfam family: Bacterial small subunit ribosomal RNA
Source: RNAcentral
UUCGCAAUGCCCGAAAGGGUGACGAAGCGACGCCGCGUGUGGGAAGAAGGCCUUCGGGUUGUAAACCACUGUCGGGAGUUAAGAAAUGCAAGGAUAUGAAUAGUGUCUUUGCUUGACUAAGGCUCCGGAGGAAGCCACGGCUAACUCUGUGCCAGCAGCCGCGGUAAUACAGAGGCGGCAAGCGUUGUUCGGAAUUAUUGGGCGUAAAGAGCACGUAGGCGGCUAUGUAAGUCGGUUGUGAAAGCCUUCCGCUCAACGGGAGAACAGCAUCCGAUACUACAUGGCUUGAGUGCGGGAGGGGAGAGUGGAACUUCUGGUGGAGCGGUGAAAUGCGUAGAUAUCAGAAGGAACGCCGGCGGCGAAAGCGACCCUCUGGUCUGCUACUGACGCUGAGGGUGCGAAAGCUAGGGGAGCAAACGGGAUUAGAUACCCCGGUAGUCCUAGCCGUAAACGAUGGGCACUAAGUAGAGGGGUUUU